ACAUCUUAUCGAGAUUAUACAGAAAAAUUAAACUGCUAAGGAUUCAUUAUUAUUCGUUGGGUACAAGUUUUUGUGAGAUUUCGUUGGUAUAGAUAUACCACAAAUUACAGUUAUGAGGCAGCAAUUCAUCUGCAAAAUAGAUUUAAGGACAGUUCCAUAUGAAUAAUAGUAAAUGUCUGUCAUACGUUUUCGAGACAGCAACUCAUCGAAAAAAAGUAUAUUAUGACAGUUCCGUAUAAAUAAAAGGAGAUAUCAGAGAACAUUCCGACUUAAUAUCAAAGACAGUUUAAUUUGAAGAUGUCUGUUAAAAAGUUCAGUAUAAAUAAGCAAGGAAAUGCGUUACACGUAAACGAGACAACAACAUAAUGACAAAAUUAACAUAACAACUUUCAAUUUAAGUAAAGAAGAUGUUGGUAUUACGUACAUGAGGCAGUUAGGCAAUGUCACAAUAAUUAGAAUAAUCAAUUCGCUUCAAAUACGUUAUAUGAUUAUCAAUAAGGAUAUUCGGUCAUGAUUAUCAAUACGGAGCUUUUGUCAUGAUUAUCAAUAAGGAGAUCCGGACAUGAUAGUCAAUAAGGAGAUCCGGACAUGAUUAUCAAUAAGGAGAUUCGGGAUGAUUAUCAAUAAGGAGAUUUGGACAUGAUUGUCAAUAAGGAGAUUUGUUCAUGAUUGUCAAUAAGGAGAUUCGGUCCCGACUGUCAAUAAGGAGAUUCGGAAUGAUAAUCAAUAAUGACAUUUAGACAUAAUUGUCAAUAAGGAGAUUUGGACAUGAUUGUCAAUAAGGAUAUUCGGUCCCGAUUGUCAAUAAGGAGAUUCGGUCCCGACUGUCAAUUAGGAGAUUCGGAAUGAUAAUCAAUAAUGACAUUUAGACAUAAUGGUCAAUAAGGAAAUUUGGACAUGCUUGUCAAUAAGGAGAUUCGGUCCCGACUGUCAAUAAGGAGAUUCGGUCCCGAUUGUCAAUAAGGAGAUUCGGGAUGAUUAUCAAUAAGGAGAUUUAGAAUGAUUGUCAAUAAGGAAAUUCGGUCAUGUUUGUCAAUAGGGAAAUUCGGUCCGGAUUGGCAAUAAGAAGAUUCGAUCCCGAUUCUCAAUAAGGAAGAUAAAGAAAAUGUUGGUUUUACGUAUAUGAAUAUGUUAGACAGUGUGAAAAUAAGAAAAAAAAUCAAUACGCAUUAAAUAAGUUGAAUGAUUAUCAAUAAGGAGAUUCGGACAUGAUUGUUGAUAACACAGGGAUAAGGAAAUUUGGUCAUGAUUAUUAAUAAGGAAAUUUGGACAUGAUUGUGAAUAAUAAGGUCGGUCAUGAUUGUCAACUACGAAAUUCGGUCAUGAUUUACAAUAAAGAGAUUCGGACAUAAUUGUCAAUAAGGAAAUUCGGUCAUGGUUAUCAAUAAGGAGAUUUGGACAUUAUUGUCAAUAAGGCGAUUAUGUCAUGAUUGUCAAUAAGGAGAUUCGGCCCCGAUUGUCAUUAAGGAGAUUCGGGAUGAUUAUCAAUAAGGACAUUUGGACAUGAUUGUCAAUAAGGAGAUUUGGACAUGAUUGUCAAUAAGGAGGUCGGCCAUGAGUGUCAAUAAGGAGAUUUGGGAUGAUUAUCAAUAAGGAGAUUAAGACAUGAUUGUCAAUAAGGAGAUUUGGACAUGAUUGUCACUAAGGAGAUUAUGUCUUGAUUGUCCAUAGGGAAAUUCGGUCUUGAUUGUCUAAAAGGAGAUUUGGAUAGAAUUGUCAAUAAGAAGAGUCGGUCAUGAUUGUCAAUAAGGAGAUUCAGGAUUAUUAUCAAUAAGGAGAUUUGAACAUGAUUGUCAAUAAGGAGGUCGGUCAUGAAUGUUUAUUAGGAAAUUCGGUCAUGAUUUUCAAUAAAGAGAUUCGGUCAUGGUUAUCUAUAAGGAGAUUUAC
RNAcentral lists this long non-coding RNA (1887 nucleotides) under Mytilus galloprovincialis (Mediterranean mussel). Lineage: Eukaryota; Metazoa; Mollusca; Bivalvia; Mytilida; Mytilidae. The record is from RNAcentral.